This is a non-coding RNA of Misgurnus anguillicaudatus (oriental weatherfish), 343 nucleotides long. Lineage: Eukaryota; Metazoa; Chordata; Actinopteri; Cypriniformes; Cobitidae. The record is from RefSeq and is a predicted model, not a curated record.
GGUCAUUCAGUGUAACGGGAUCAGGAAGCCAUUUUGAAAUUAAAUAAACAAACAAUAGUCAUCAAGCAGUCUGUGACAUCAUCAAAAGGCCCCCUGAAGACCAUGUGGUGAUUCAGCAAGAUGCCCACAAACAAAGAGAAAGUUUCUAGGCACUGGCAGAAAGUUAAUGCAGACCCAGUAGCUAGGGCAAUGCAUUUAGCAAGGAGACGAGAAAGCAACCAGAGAAGAAAGCAAGCUGCCUUGGCUGCAAAUCCUGAUCACCCGUCAAUCAGGAAUUUAUCAGAUGCUGCAGCUGAGAAGAAGCGAAAGCAAUGGCGGGAAAAUCAAAGAAAACACAGGGCAG